GAAUCUGAGGGUGAUCUAGCUGUGACAUCAGUCACCCCAAUUGUUUACCAGGGUUGAUUCGGCUGAUCUGGGUGGGUAGGCAAGUGUCUCCUUUCUCCCUCAUUGGUCCAUGUGGGUCCCUCCUGAAGCUGCAUGCUCAGUCUAAGAGGACAACCACCCCCAAUAGAGGAGGACCAUUUCCUUAGUCAUGGAUAUACAAAUAACUACAAUUCCUUGCUAGAACCUCCAAAGAAGCUCUCAAAAUUAAAAGUAAAGUUAAAUACCUUCAACAUAUAAUGGCACAAAGAAAGCAUUU
RNAcentral lists this small nuclear RNA (295 nucleotides) under Heterocephalus glaber (naked mole-rat). RNAcentral's name for it is "7SK RNA". It matches the Rfam family "7SK RNA". From Rfam's summary of the family: 7SK was discovered as an abundant small nuclear RNA in the mid-70s but a possible function has only recently been suggested. Two independent studies have found that 7SK RNA binds the CDK9/cyclin T complex (known as elongation factor P-TEFb). Lineage: Eukaryota; Metazoa; Chordata; Mammalia; Rodentia; Bathyergidae. The record is from Rfam by way of RNAcentral.